This 201-nucleotide unclassified non-coding RNA is filed under the name Hevea brasiliensis (rubber tree). Lineage: Eukaryota; Viridiplantae; Streptophyta; Magnoliopsida; Malpighiales; Euphorbiaceae. The record is from RNAcentral.
GAAAAAUAGCAAUUUGCUAUAACGAUAAUAGAUGCACAAAUUAUGUAUCAAAAAUCAUUUUGCAGGCAGCCCGCCACAACAAACCAUUCUGAAAUCACACAAUUUCAGAAACGUCUAACAAGUUCAACCGCCACCAUAAUCUAUUUGCUUCAUGAAACAAAAGUGAAAAUAUAAAACAUAACAGAAACAAUAAAGAAGAAA